Molecule: unclassified non-coding RNA, 380 nt
Filed under: uncultured Actinomycetes bacterium
Lineage: Bacteria; Bacillati; Actinomycetota; Actinomycetes
Description: uncultured actinobacterium contains 16S-23S intergenic spacer region
Source: RNAcentral
UCCGAGUUGACCCCGGCAGUCUCCUAUGAGUCCCCACCAUCACGUGCUGGCAACAUAGAACGAGGGUUGCGCUCGUUGCGGGACUUAACCCAACAUCUCACGACACGAGCUGACGACAGCCAUGCAGCACCUGUGUUCGAGUUCCCGAAGGCACCAAUCCAUCUCUGGAAAGUUCUCGAUAUGUCAAGGCCAGGUAAGGUUCUUCGCGUUGCAUCGAAUUAAACCACAUACUCCACCGCUUGUACGGGCCCCCGUCAAUUCCUUUGAGUUUUAGCCUUGCGGCCGUACUCCCCAGGCGGGGCACUUAAUGCGUUAGCUUCGGCACGGAGAACGUGGAAUGUCCCCCACACCUAGUGCCCACCGUUUACGGCGUGGACUAC